Molecule: ribosomal RNA, 301 nt
Filed under: uncultured Pseudomonadota bacterium
Lineage: Bacteria; Pseudomonadati; Pseudomonadota
Description: bacterial SSU rRNA
Rfam family: Bacterial small subunit ribosomal RNA
Source: RNAcentral
AACGAACGCUGGCGGCAUGCCUAACACAUGCAAGUCGAACGAGACCUUCCGGGUCGUAGUGGCGCACGGGUGCGUAACGCGUGGGAAUCUGCCCCUUGGGUUCGGGAUAACAGUUGGAAACGACUGCUAAUACCGGAUGAUGACUUCGGUCCAAAGAUUUAUCGCCCAGGGAUGAGCCCGCGUAGGAUUAGCUUGUUGGUGAGGUAAAGGCUCACCCAAGGCGACGAUCCUUUAGCUGGUCUGAGAGGAUGAUCAGCCACACUGGGGACUGAGACACGGCCCAGACUCCUACGGGAGGCAG